UGCUCACACUUCACAAGAUGGCGUCCUCUGUUCUGCUCUGCCUAUAAGAAAAGGCAAAGCAACAAGGUCAGUCACCAGGGCUGUAAGACCCUGGGGCUGAAGAGACAACAAACUUCCCAGAAAGUGUGCGUUGCGUUACGCUGCAAAUGUGUGCUUGGCUGUAAGGAGUACACACCAAAGCCUGCUGAGCUGUGACGAGAAGAGACAGGUCUAUUCGGAGCUUUAACCACCCUGGUGAUGUGAUUGGUUGUGUCGUUGGCCUUUAAGUAUUGAACCAACGUUCCAUUCCUAGGAGAAAUCCCAUCUGGUUAAGAAGAAGCUCAUGGUUACAAAGGAAUACUUGUUGAGUUUUACAGCAAAGAAACCAAUAUGUUUGAGGACCUGGAAGUCCCACCCUUUUCCUUCCACCAAGCAAUUGGCCCUUGGCAUCUUUACUGAUAGAUCAAGAAUCAA
This 453-nucleotide small RNA is filed under the name Rattus norvegicus (Norway rat). Its description in RNAcentral is "uncharacterized LOC108351525". The record is from RNAcentral. Lineage: Eukaryota; Metazoa; Chordata; Mammalia; Rodentia; Muridae.